CCAAACAGCGAGUGAUUGUAAUAUGGUAGCGACACCUCACACCACCACGUCGCAGUCAGAUACCCUGUUGGAACUAUUUAUCCAAACUCUCCUUUACUGUUUACAGUAGGAUUAUCAAGGAUACAGCAGAUGAAGAGAAUGAAGAAACCCGAAACCCAUCUAUUAAUAUUUCAAAUAGUUUCCCUUAAAAAUAAUAAAACAUAAAAUAACAUUAACAAUAGUAGUCCAAUUUUUGCGACCCAAAA
Bolinopsis microptera is the source of this 245-nucleotide long non-coding RNA. RefSeq lists it as uncharacterized. The transcript has 2 exons. NCBI's taxonomy places the organism in Eukaryota, Metazoa, Ctenophora, Tentaculata, Lobata, Bolinopsidae. The record is from RefSeq and is a predicted model, not a curated record.